GUGUCAGCCGCCGCGGUAAUACGUAGGAGGCAAGCGUUAUCCGGAUUUACUGGGCGUAAAGAGAGCGUAGGCGGUUUGGUAAGUCGGAUGUGAAAUCUCCCGGCUCAACCGGGAGGAGUCAUUCGAUACUGUUGAACUAGGGUGCAGCAGGGGGAAGUGGAAUUCCCGGUGUAGUGGUGAUAUGCGUAGAUAUCGGGAGGAACACCAGUGGCGAAGGCGGCUUCCUGGGCUGUUUCUGACGCUGAGGCUCGAAAGUGUGGGGAGCGAACAGGAUUAGAUACCCUGGUAGUCCACACUGUAAACGAUGGACACUAGGUAUGGGGAGUAUCGACCCUCUCUGUGCCGAAGUUAACGCUUUAAGUGUCCCGCCUGGGGACUACGGCCGCAAGGCUAAAACUUAAAGGAAUUGGCGGGG
Molecule: ribosomal RNA, 415 nt
Filed under: uncultured prokaryote
Description: bacterial SSU rRNA
Rfam family: Bacterial small subunit ribosomal RNA
Source: RNAcentral